Molecule: non-coding RNA, 56 nt
Organism: Bos taurus (domestic cattle)
Lineage: Eukaryota; Metazoa; Chordata; Mammalia; Artiodactyla; Bovidae
Source: Rfam
UGGCUCAGAUGGUAAAGUGCCUGUCUGCAAUGCAGGAGACCUGGGUUCAAUCCCUG